RNAcentral lists this non-coding RNA (117 nucleotides) under Chlorocebus sabaeus (green monkey). The record is from Rfam by way of RNAcentral. Lineage: Eukaryota; Metazoa; Chordata; Mammalia; Primates; Cercopithecidae.
GCCGGGCGCGGUGGCUCAUGCCUGUAAUCCCAGCACUUUGGGAGGCUGAGGCAGGUGGAUUACCUGAGGUCAGGAGUUCGAGACCAGCCUGGCCAACAUGGUAAAACCCUGUCUCUA